RNAcentral lists this non-coding RNA (107 nucleotides) under uncultured Anaeromassilibacillus sp. RNAcentral's name for it is "FMN riboswitch (RFN element)". It matches the Rfam family "FMN riboswitch aptamer (RFN element)". Rfam says of the family: The RFN element is a highly conserved domain that is found frequently in the 5'-untranslated regions of prokaryotic mRNAs that encode for flavin mononucleotide (FMN) biosynthesis and transport proteins. This element is a metabolite-dependent riboswitch that directly binds FMN in the absence of proteins. Lineage: Bacteria; Bacillati; Bacillota; Clostridia; Eubacteriales; Acutalibacteraceae. The record is from RNAcentral.
AUCUUCAGGGCGGGGUGCAAUUCCCCACCGGUGGUAUAGCCCACGAGCCGCAUGGCAUGAUUCGGUGAAACUCCGAAGCCGACCGUAUAGUCUGGAUGAAAGAAGAU